AGUGGCGGACGGGUGAGUAACACGUAAGAAUUUGCCUUUAGGAGGGGGACAACAACUAGAAAUGGUUGCUAAUACCCCAUAUGCUUUCGAGUGAAAUGGAUUUUUCCGCCUAGAGAGAAGCUUGCGGCUGAUUAGCUUGUUGGUGAGGUAAUGGCUCACCAAGGCGACGAUCAGUAUCUGGUUUGAGAGGACGAUCAGACACACUGGAACUGAGACACGGUCCAGACUCCUACGGGAGGCAGCAGUGGGGAAUUUUCCGCAAUGGGCGAAAGCCUGACGGAGCAAUACCGCGUGAGGGAUGACGGCCUAUGGGUUGUAAACCUCUUUUUUCAGGGAGGAAUCAAUGACGUGUACCUGAAGAAUAAGCAUCGGCUAACUCCGUGCCAGCAGCCGCGGUAAGACGGGGGAUGCAAGUGUUAUCCGGAAUCACUGGGCGUAAAGCGUCUGUAGGUGGUCCAAUAAGUCAACUGUUAAAUCUUGAGGCUCAACCUCAAAAUCGCAGUCGAAACUAUUAGACUAGAGUAUAGUAGGGGUAAAGGGAAUUUCCAGUGGAGCGGUGAAAUGCGUAGAGAUUGGAAAGAACACCGAUGGCGAAGGCACUUUACUGGGCUAUUACUAACACUCAGAGACGAAAGCUAGGGUAGCAAAUGGGAUUAGAUACCCCAGUAGUCCUAGCCGUAAAUAAUGGAUACUAGAUGUU
RNAcentral lists this ribosomal RNA (700 nucleotides) under uncultured bacterium. Its description in RNAcentral is "bacterial SSU rRNA". It matches the Rfam family "Bacterial small subunit ribosomal RNA", at positions 94 to 824 of the family's 1533-position model. The record is from RNAcentral.